CUGCUGGAAACGGCAGCUAAGACCGGAUAUGCCUUCGGGUGAAAUAUUUAUAGCCAAAAGAGGAGCUCGCGACCGAUUAGCUAGUUGGUGGGGUAAGAGCCUACCAAGGCUGCGAUCGGUAGCCGGUUUGAGAGGACGACCGGCCACACUGGGACUGAGACACGGCCCAGACUCCUACGGGAGGCAGCAGUGGGGAAUUUUCCGCAAUGGGCGAAAGCCUGACGGAGCAAUACCGCGUGAGGGAGGAAGGCUCUUGGGUCGUAAACCUCUUUUCUCAGGGAAGAAGCAAUGACGGUACCUGAGGAAUCAGCAUCGGCUAACUCCGUGCCAGCAGCCGCGGUAAUACGGAGGAUGCAAGCGUUAUCCGGAAUGAUUGGGCGUAAAGCGUCCGCAGGUGGCACAUCAAGUCUGCUGUCAAAGACCCCAGCUUAACUGGGAAGAGGCGGUGGAAACUGGUGAGCUAGAGAGCAAUAGGGGUAGAGGGAAUUCCCGGUGUAGCGGUGAAAUGCGUAGAGAUCGGGAAGAACACCAGUGGCGAAAGCGCUCUACUAGGUUGACUCUGACACUGAGGGACGAAAGCCACACC
This 586-nucleotide ribosomal RNA is filed under the name Chroococcidiopsis cubana C70. RNAcentral's name for it is "bacterial SSU rRNA". It matches the Rfam family "Bacterial small subunit ribosomal RNA", at positions 147 to 766 of the family's 1533-position model. The record is from RNAcentral. Lineage: Bacteria; Bacillati; Cyanobacteriota; Cyanophyceae; Chroococcidiopsidales; Chroococcidiopsidaceae.